This is a long non-coding RNA of Strongylocentrotus purpuratus (purple sea urchin), 1233 nucleotides long. RefSeq lists it as uncharacterized. NCBI's taxonomy places the organism in Eukaryota, Metazoa, Echinodermata, Echinoidea, Camarodonta, Strongylocentrotidae. The record is from RefSeq and is a predicted model, not a curated record. The transcript is spliced from 3 exons.
GGUGAAUCUAACAGCAGAAAGGACUGAAGAAUGUAACCCUUGCCAGAAUGGAGGAACAUGGUCAGGCAUCCAUGGAAGUUUCCAGUGCUUCUGUCCCGAAGGCUUCAAGGGGGAUUACUGUCAAACAGGUUAGGACAAGACAAAUGGACUCGAUACCCUCAAGACAUAGCACCAAGAAGAGAUAGCUAGACAAGAAUAUAAUCAUUCAGUAAGGCAGUGGUGUAGCGGGGGCCUCUGGCAUUACUGGGAUGGGCAGUAAUUUUAUUAGAUGGAUGUAAGUAUCAAUUGUCGAGGCUACCUACGGGGGGGAACGAGGCAGGAUACUUUAUUUACUUCUUUUCACUUUUCCUUUCCCUUUCUCCCUUUCCUUUUUUUUUUUUUGGUAUACAUCGUGCCCCUUGCAUCUACUUCAUAGGAGAGAUUGGUUCUUCAAAGUCAUGAAAAAAGAUAUUUAAUACGGGAAACGGGAUACAUGUGUAUAUUAAAUCUCUCUAUUUUGAAUAUUUACCACGUGACAAUGUGGCAGAUCUCUAAUUGGCUAAAAAUACUGAACCAUAACUUCAAUGAUAAUUUUUUUUCACGCUGUUUUUUAUAAUUGACAUUGAAUAGAACAUAUCAAACUAGUUUACCAAAUUCACAUGAGCUACAAUGAUGAAACUUGGUCAGGAUUUUUUAUUCAACACUGACGUUCAUACAAUAUAUUGCUUUUUCUAUUACGGUAAUGGGGUUUGGUCCUCUCAACAAUAUGUCAAAACAUCUGGAAUUUAAUAGAAAAUAUACGAGAUAAUACCAACAUUUUCUAUGUUUUUUUUAAACAUAUCUUUUACAAGGUAUAUGUGCAUUAUUAUAGAUGAAAUAAAUCAAAUGAAAUAAUGAUGUAUUCCGGGGCCUACUAAACGCCCCUGUACUUUUUUGUAGCUCUGCUGGCUUCCAAAUACGUCGAAUUCCCCUAUACUUUUUGUUUGUAUUCUCUUAUAUAAAAAUUGUAUCUUAAAUGUUUCAUAUUUGUGGUGAUAGAGAAAUAAUUAUAACAUAUAUAAACAAAAUAAUAAUAUCACUUUAUGUAGUCUAAUACAUUCGUCCUGCACUCGUUGUUUUGUUUUUAUGUUUAAGUCAGGUGAUGUUCAUCAAUACUGGGAAAAUUUGAUUUUUAUAACUUAUUUAUAGAGAGCAAUCUGAAAUAAGAGUGUGGUGAAUGUACACUUCCUCCUUUUACAAUUUGAAUGUAUAUGG